GACGAACGCUGGCGGCGUGCUUAACACAUGCAAGUCGAACGGAAAGGCCCCCUUGUGGGGUACUCGAGUGGCGAACGGGUGAGUAACACGUGAGUAACCUACCCUUGACUUUGGGAUAACUUCAGGAAACUGGGGCUAAUACCGGAUAGGAGCUCCUGCUGCAUGGUGGGGGUUGGAAAGUUUCGGCGGUUGGGGAUGGGCUCGCGGCUUAUCAGCUUGUUGGUGGGGUAGUGGCUCACCAAGGCUUUGACGGGUAGCCGGCCUGAGAGGGUGACCGGCCACAUUGGGACUGAGAUACGGCCCAGACUCCUACGGGAGGCAACAGUGGGGAAUAUUGCACAAUGGGCGGAAGCCUGAUGCAGCAACGCCGCGUGCGGGAUGACGGCCUUCGGGUUGUAAACCGCUUUCGCCUGUGACGAAGCGUGAGUGACGGUAAUGGGUAAAGAAGCACCGGCUAACUACGU
RNAcentral lists this ribosomal RNA (464 nucleotides) under uncultured bacterium. RNAcentral describes it as "partial 16S ribosomal RNA". It matches the Rfam family "Bacterial small subunit ribosomal RNA", at positions 28 to 506 of the family's 1533-position model. The record is from RNAcentral.